Molecule: ribosomal RNA, 1373 nt
Filed under: uncultured bacterium
Lineage: Bacteria
Description: bacterial SSU rRNA
Rfam family: Bacterial small subunit ribosomal RNA
Source: RNAcentral
GAUGAACGCUGGCGGCGUGCCUAAUACAUGCAAGUCGAGCGAACGGACGAGAAGCUUGCUUCUCUGAUGUUAGCGGCGGACGGGUGAGUAACACGUGGAUAACCUACCUAUAAGACUGGGAUAACUUCGGGAAACCGGAGCUAAUACCGGAUAAUAUUUUGAACCGCAUGGUUCAAAAGUGAAAGACGGUCUUGCUGUCACUUAUAGAUGGAUCCGCGCUGCAUUAGCUAGUUGGUAAGGUAACGGCUUACCAAGGCAACGAUGCAUAGCCGACCUGAGAGGGUGAUCGGCCACACUGGAACUGAGACACGGUCCAGACUCCUACGGGAGGCAGCAGUAGGGAAUCUUCCGCAAUGGGCGAAAGCCUGACGGAGCAACGCCGCGUGAGUGAUGAAGGUCUUCGGAUCGUAAAACUCUGUUAUUAGGGAAGAACAUAUGUGUAAGUAACUGUGCACAUCUUGACGGUACCUAAUCAGAAAGCCACGGCUAACUACGUGCCAGCAGCCGCGGUAAUACGUAGGUGGCAAGCGUUAUCCGGAAUUAUUGGGCGUUAAGCGCGCGUAGGCGGUUUUUUUAAGUCUGAUGUGAAAGCCCACGGCUCAACCGUGGAGGGUCAUUGGAAACUGGAAAACUUGAGUGCAGAAGAGGAAAGUGGAAUUCCAUGUGUAGCGGUGAAAUGCGCAGAGAUAUGGAGGAACACCAGUGGCGAAGGCGACUUUCUGGUCUGUAACUGACGCUGAUGUGCGAAAGCGUGGGGAUCAAACAGGAUUAGAUACCCUGGUAGUCCACGCCGUAAACGAUGAGUGCUAAGUGUUAGGGGGUUUCCGCCCCUUAGUGCUGCAGCUAACGCAUUAAGCACUCCGCCUGGGGAGUACGACCGCAAGGUUGAAACUCAAAGGAAUUGACGGGGACCCGCACAAGCGGUGGAGCAUGUGGUUUAAUUCGAAGCAACGCGAAGAACCUUACCAAAUCUUGACAUCCUUUAACAACUCUAGAGAUAGAGCCUUCCCCUUCGGGGGACAAAGUGACAGGUGGUGCAUGGUUGUCGUCAGCUCGUGUCGUGAGAUGUUGGGUUAAGUCCCGCAACGAGCGCAACCCUUAAGCUUAGUUGCCAUCAUUAAGUUGGGCACUCUAAGUUGACUGCCGGUGACAAACCGGAGGAAGGUGGGGAUGACGUCAAAUCAUCAUGCCCCUUAUGAUUUGGGCUACACACGUGCUACAAUGGACAAUACAAAGGGCAGCGAAACCGCGAGGUCAAGCAAAUCCCAUAAAGUUGUUCUCAGUUCGGAUUGUAGUCUGCAACUCGACUACAUGAAGCUGGAAUCGCUAGUAAUCGUAGAUCAGCAUGCUACGGUGAAUACGUUCCCGGGUCU